This 468-nucleotide ribosomal RNA is filed under the name uncultured bacterium. RNAcentral describes it as "partial 16S ribosomal RNA". It matches the Rfam family "Bacterial small subunit ribosomal RNA", at positions 28 to 507 of the family's 1533-position model. The record is from RNAcentral.
GACGAACGCUGGCGGCGUGCUUAACACAUGCAAGUCGAACGGAAAGGCCCUGCUUUUGUGGGGUGCUCGAGUGGCGAACGGGUGAGUAACACGUGAGUAACCUGCCCUUGACUUUGGGAUAACUUCAGGAAACUGGGGCUAAUACCGGAUAGGAGCUCCUGCUGCAUGGUGGGGGUUGGAAAGUUUCGGCGGUUGGGGAUGGACUCGCGGCUUAUCAGCUUGUUGGUGGGGUAGUGGCUUAUCAAGGCUUUGACGGGUAGCCGGCCUGAGAGGGUGACCGGCCACAUUGGGACUGAGAUAUGGCCCAGACUCCUACGGGAGGCAGCAGUGGGGAAUAUUGCACAAUGGGCGGAAGCCUGAUGCAGCAACGCCGCGUGCGGGAUGACGGCCUUCGGGUUGUAAACCGCUUUCGCCUGUGACGAAGCGUGAGUGGCGGUAAUGGGUAAAGAAGCACCGGCUAACUACGUG